UUCUUCCUCUGGUUUGUUUAGUUGAGGUCGGCAUCACCUUCGUGCCGCACUAGAGCCACCUUCAGGACGCAGGUUUCCUGAUGAUAAGUGAAGAAUAAAUCACAUGGGUCUCCUCCACCUGCAGUAAGAUGAAUGUUUCGCCUCUACAUCUGUUUCAUCUGAGUCUGGGUCACCACAAAUUUGAGCGAGAGGAGUGUAAAUACAUUGAUAUUUUAGGU
Long non-coding RNA from Solea solea (common sole), 218 nucleotides. RefSeq lists it as uncharacterized. The record is from RefSeq and is a predicted model, not a curated record. Lineage: Eukaryota; Metazoa; Chordata; Actinopteri; Pleuronectiformes; Soleidae. The transcript has 3 exons.